This 424-nucleotide unclassified non-coding RNA is filed under the name soil metagenome. RNAcentral's name for it is "partial contains 5.8S ribosomal RNA, internal transcribed spacer 2, and large subunit ribosomal RNA". The stretch from base 2 to 119 matches the Rfam family "5.8S ribosomal RNA", at positions 37 to 154 of the family's 154-position model. The record is from RNAcentral.
GUGAAGAACGCAGUGAAAUGCGAUAAGUAGUGUGAAUUGCAGAAUUCCGUGAAUCAUCGAAUCUUUGAACGCACAUUGCGCCUUCUGGUAUUCCGGAAGGCAUGCCUGUUCGAGAGUCAUUAACAACCGUUUCGAUCCCUUUCUUUCAGAAAUUACAAAGAGGAAAAGGGUUUGGUUAUGGUGGAGGAGGGAAAGGGAGCGUUUAGCCUGUAAAAAAAGAGGCUGUGCUCCGCCUCCCCCCCAAAAUUGUACAGGCGGUCGUGUGCGCCCACGCAUCGAGGUGUUGUAAAAGCUGCCACGGCACUUUUCACCUGUGCAGUGCGAGAUUGGCCAGCCGGUUUAAAAACCCCUCCAAACAAUCAAAGGUUGACCUCGGAUCAGGUAGGGAUACCCGCUGAACUUAAGCAUAUUAAUAAGCGGAGGA